AUUAGCUUUUAGUAAGAUUACACAUACAAGCAUCCCUGUCCCAGUGAAAAUGCCCACUAAAUCACCUCGAUCAAAAUGCGUAAGUGUCAAGUACGCAUAAAUGCAGCUCAAAACACUUUGCUCAACCUCACCCCCACAGGAAACAGCAGUGAUAAAUUUUUAGCAAUAAACGAAAGUUUAAGCUAUACUAGUAUUUUAGGGUUAGUUAAUUUUGUGCCAGCCACCACAGCCAAUGUUCUGUUGUCUUCAUUUCAAUCAAGCAAGGAUGAGAAAUAAUUUUCAAAAACUAUAAUCUGUGAAGUCAAGAACUCAUUUUAAUGGAUUGAGAAACCUCCCAAACUUCACUAUCUUUUAAAGCGAUAAACGGGAUUAGUGGGAGUGGGUCCAACUGGAUCGAAUCCUCCUGUGUUUCUUUUUGUUUGGAAAAAAAUGUUAAUCGGAUUUCAACAUUUUUUUCUUUCAAAAGUUGCUCUCCACUUAGAAAUACAAACAAGCUGCCCUGAACCAGAGGUUGCAGAGCAAAUCCCUCAGCUUCCCAGAUCAUAAGUCAUCACUUGAGAAAUGCUCCCAAGUUUCUGUUGGCAACACUAGUUUCUAGAACAGGCCCUGUUCUUUCAUACAAUCUUCCAACAAAUUCUUGCUCCUAAAAUGCCCUUCAUCCCUCUGCCUGCUGAUGUCCCAUCAUCAUUCAACAUUCAACAAACAUUUAUGGGGUGGACAAAGAAGUGACGUCCUUCCUAUAGGCUGUUUACAUUCAUUGGGGGCACAGGAGUGCACAGGAUAAACAAAUUAGUGUGUUAUACAGUGAUAUGGUUUGGCUGUGUCCCCACUCAAAUCUCAUCUUGAAUUGUAAUUCCCAUAAUUCCUACAUGUCGUGGAAGGGGCCCGGUGGGAGGUAAUUGAAUCAUGGGGGUGGUUACCCCCAUGCUGCUGUUCUCCUGACAAUGAGUGAGGUCUUAUGAGAUCUGAUGGUCUUUUAUAAGGGGCUUUCCCCGCUUUUGCUCAAGACUUCUCCUUCCUGCCACCUUGUGAAGAAGGACAUGUUUGCUUCCCCUUCCACCAUGAUUGUAAGUUUCCUGAGGCCUCCUCAGCCCUGUGGAACUGUGAGUCAAUUAAAGCUCUUUCCUUUAUAAGGACUUGACUCUAAAAUUACCCAGUCUUGGGUAUGUCCUUAUAGCAGCGUGAGAACAGACUAAUGCAUCCAGU
Molecule: long non-coding RNA, 1206 nt
Filed under: Homo sapiens (human)
Lineage: Eukaryota; Metazoa; Chordata; Mammalia; Primates; Hominidae
Description: HSALNT0406721
Source: RNAcentral